This 254-nucleotide ribosomal RNA is filed under the name uncultured bacterium. Its description in RNAcentral is "partial 16S ribosomal RNA". It matches the Rfam family "Bacterial small subunit ribosomal RNA", at positions 524 to 776 of the family's 1533-position model. The record is from RNAcentral.
UACGUAGGGGGCGAGCGUUGUCCGAAGUUACUGGGCGUAAAGCGCGCGUAGGCGGGGGAUUAAGUGAGAGGUGAAAGGCUGGGGCUCAACCUCAUGCAGUGCCUCUCAUACUGGUUCUCUUGAGGGCGGUAGGGAGAAGUGGAAUUCCUGGAGUAGCGGUAAAAUGCGUGGAUCUCAGGAGGAACACCAAUGGCGAAGGCAGCUUCUUGGCUCAUUCCUGACGCUGAGGCGCGAAAGCUAGGGAAGCAAACAGG